UGGACUGGUAGGUUGUGAGAGGGUGUAUCACAGUAUGAAAAAGAUUGGAGUGAGAGCGACCAGUAUGUAUUUUGUGUGCAUGAGAUAAAGCAGUUGGAAUAUGAGAGAUCAGAGUGUGUUUGUGUAUCUGUGUGAGACACUGGAGCAUUUGAGUAACUGAGGCCUCUUUGAAAGAUACCAUUGAAUGUGUAUGUAUGAGAGACCAUCAUGUUUAUAUUGUAAUGAAUGCGGGAAAGCCUUCAGCCAAACUUCCAAUCUUACUCAACAUCAAAGAAUUCAUACUGGAGAGAAACCCUAUAAAUGUACUGAAUGUGGAAAGGCUUUUAGUGAUAGCUCAUCCUGUGCUCAGCAUCAAAGACUCCACACUGGCCAAAGGCCCUAUCAGUGUUUUGAAUGUGGGAAGGCAUUCAGAAGAAAGUUAUCCUUAAUUUGUCAUCAAAGUCGUCAUACUGGAGAAGAACCUUAAGAAUGUAGUGCAUGUGGCCAAGCCUUUAGUUAUCAUCAAUCCCCUACUGUUAAUCAGAGAUGUCCCACUGGAU
Molecule: small RNA, 539 nt
Filed under: Pan troglodytes (chimpanzee)
Lineage: Eukaryota; Metazoa; Chordata; Mammalia; Primates; Hominidae
Description: processed transcript
Source: RNAcentral